GGGGGUGUGGUGCAGUGGUAGCACGUUUGCUUUGCAUGCAAAAGGUCCUGGGUUCAAUCCCCAGCUCCUCCA
Molecule: non-coding RNA, 72 nt
Organism: Geosiphon pyriformis
Lineage: Eukaryota; Fungi; Glomeromycota; Glomeromycetes; Archaeosporales; Geosiphonaceae
Source: the annotation of a GenBank genome assembly